UUAAAGAUAAACUCUCAAAACUUGAUACCUUUAACCUCUCAAGCUAAUCUUCGUUUUAAUCUUGAUAAGUCUAAAUCUUCUGAUUCAUCCUUAUCUUUAAGGUUUACAAUAAUUAUCUCUUGCCAAAUCGUAAUUAAUAUCUCCAACCAAUAAGAUGACGCCACGUCAUAAUACCUUAUGACUUGUGCAACCACGAAGCAACGUCGAACACAUUUAUUCACAGACUCCUAGUCUCAACAAUCUCCCCCUUUUUCACUGAGUUUUACAACUCAAGCUUACUAGCUAACAAUAGCAAGAAACUCCCCCUUAACUAAGUAUCAUCAAACUGAAACAACUCUUCAUUCUCCCUCUGCUUGAGUGACAAAACUUUUUGAAAAUCUCCAUAACAUAUAAUCCCUUUGUCACAUCUCUUAGAAC
RNAcentral lists this long non-coding RNA (417 nucleotides) under Brassica napus (rape). RNAcentral describes it as "long non-coding RNA (BNAP_LNC014082)". Lineage: Eukaryota; Viridiplantae; Streptophyta; Magnoliopsida; Brassicales; Brassicaceae. The record is from RNAcentral.